GACGAACGCUGGCGGCGUGCUUAACACAUGCAAGUCGAACGGAAAGGCCCUGCUUUUGUGGGGUGCUCGAGUGGCGAACGGGUGAGUAACACGUGAGUAACCUGCCCUUGACUUUGGGAUAACUUCAGGAAACUGGGGCUAAUACCGGAUAGGAGCUCCUGCUGCAUGGUGGGGGGUGGAAAGUUUCGGGGGUUGGGGAUGGACUCGCGGCUUAUCAGCUUGUUGGUGGGGUAGUGGCUUACCAAGGCUUUGACGGGUAGCCGGCGUGAGAGGGUGACCGGACACAUUGGGACUGAGAUACGGCCCAGACUCAUACGGGAGGCAGCAGUGGGGAAUAUUGCACAAUGGGCGGAAGCCUGAUGCAGCAACGCCGCGUGCGGGAAGACGGCCUUCGGGUUGUAAACCGCUUGCGCCUGUGACGAAGCGUGAGUGACGGUAAUGGGUAAAGAAGCACCGGCUAACUACGUG
RNAcentral lists this ribosomal RNA (468 nucleotides) under uncultured bacterium. Its description in RNAcentral is "partial 16S ribosomal RNA". It matches the Rfam family "Bacterial small subunit ribosomal RNA", at positions 28 to 507 of the family's 1533-position model. The record is from RNAcentral.